UCUUAAAAGGGCGAAUAAGUCAGAUGCUGCAGACCCGAAACGAAGUGAUCUAUCCAUGGGCAGGUUGAAGCUGGUGUAAGAGCAAGUGGAGGACCGAACCGAUGGGCGUUGAAAAGACCCCGGAUGACCUGUGGCUAGAGGUGACAGGCCAUUCAAACUUCGUGAUAGCUGGUUCUCUCCGAAAUAUCUGUGGGUUUAGCCUCGAGAAGUCGGAUGUAGAGGUAGGGCACUGUAAGUGCUAGGGCUGCUUAUCGAGGUACUAAACGCUAUCAAGGACCGGUUGCUAUGUGUGGAAUCGGGGGUGUCAGGCGUGGAGAGAUGACACCCAAUGUCGAGAGGGGAACUACAGUGACUAACUGCUUAGGACCCGAAGUUACGUUUAAGUGGAAAGCGAUGUGGGGUUACGGUGACAACCAGGAUGUUGGCUU
This 428-nucleotide ribosomal RNA is filed under the name Malaciobacter molluscorum LMG 25693. Its description in RNAcentral is "bacterial LSU rRNA". It matches the Rfam family "Bacterial large subunit ribosomal RNA", at positions 682 to 1107 of the family's 2925-position model. Lineage: Bacteria; Pseudomonadati; Campylobacterota; Epsilonproteobacteria; Campylobacterales; Arcobacteraceae. The record is from RNAcentral.